GAUGAACGCUGGCGGCGUGCCUAAUACAUGCAAGUCGAGCGAAGCGGGGACGGGUGAGUAACACGUGGAUAACCUCCUAUAAGACUGGGAUAACUUCGGGAAACCGGAGCUAAACCGGAUCCUUAUAGAUGGAUCCGCGCUGCAUUAGCUAGUUGGUCAGGUAACGGCUUACCAAGGCAACGAUGCAUAGCCGACCUGAGAGUGUGAUCGGCCACACGUGAACGGAUACACGGUCCAGACUCCUACGGGAGGCAGCAGUAGGGAGAUUGCGGCAAUGGGCGAAAGCCUGACGGAGCAACGCCGCGUGAUGGAUGAAGGGCUUCGGAUCGUAAAACUCUGUUAUUAGGGAAGCGGGACCUAAUCAGAAAGCCACGGCUAACUACGUGCCAGCAGCCGCGGGAAGAC
RNAcentral lists this ribosomal RNA (405 nucleotides) under uncultured bacterium. Its description in RNAcentral is "partial 16S ribosomal RNA". It matches the Rfam family "Bacterial small subunit ribosomal RNA", at positions 28 to 526 of the family's 1533-position model. The record is from RNAcentral.